RNAcentral lists this small RNA (2716 nucleotides) under Arabidopsis thaliana (thale cress). Its description in RNAcentral is "ATSL212060". The record is from RNAcentral. Lineage: Eukaryota; Viridiplantae; Streptophyta; Magnoliopsida; Brassicales; Brassicaceae.
AAAAGUUGAUUAUACACCUCUCCGAGUGUUUGGUACAGCCUGCUACCCCUGCUUGAGACCGUUAGCAAAGAACAAGUUUGAUCCACGCUCGUUGCAAUGCGUGUUUCUUGGCUAUCACAACCAAUACAAGGGAUACCGCUGUUUGUAUCCUCCUACCGGUAAAGUCUACAUCUCUAGACAUGUCAUUUUUGAUGAAGCUCAAUUCCCAUUUAAAGAAAAGUACCACAGUCUGGUUCCAAAAUACCAGACGACCUUACUACAGGCUUGGCAACAUACUGAUCUCACACCACCUUCAGUGCCUUCUUCUCAAUUACAACCUCUUGCAAGACAAAUGACUCCUAUGGCAACAAGUGAGAAUCAGCCAAUGAUGAAUUAUGAGACAGAGGAAGCCGUCAAUGUUAAUAUGGAAACUAGCUCUGAUGAGGAAACUGAAUCAAAUGAUGAAUUUGACCACGAAGUAGCUCCCGUACUAAAUGAUCAAAAUGAAGACAAUGCACUAGGACAAGGCUCAUUAGAAAAUCUCCAUCCCAUGAUUACAAGAUCAAAAGAUGGAAUUCAGAAGCCAAACCCCCGGUAUGCUCUCAUUGUCUCUAAAUCCUCUUUUGAUGAACCAAAAACUAUUACUACUGCUAUGAAGCAUCCUAGCUGGAACGCUGCAGUUAUGGAUGAGAUAGAUCGCAUUCACAUGCUAAACACUUGGUCUCUAGUUCCUGCAACAGAGGACAUGAAUAUUCUGACAUCCAAAUGGGUUUUCAAGACUAAACUCAAACCUGAUGGCACCAUAGAUAAGUUGAAAGCUCGUCUAGUUGCCAAAGGGUUUGAUCAAGAAGAAGGAGUCGACUAUCUUGAGACAUUCAGUCCGGUUGUUCGAACUGCAACUAUACGUCUUGUUCUCGAUACCGCUACUGCAAAUGAGUGGCCUCUCAAACAGCUUGAUGUGUCCAACGCGUUUCUCCAUGGAGAAUUACAAGAACCGGUGUUUAUGUUCCAACCCUCUGGUUUUGUUGAUCCUAACAAGCCUAAUCACGUUUGUCGGCUCACCAAAGCUCUUUAUGGUCUAAAACAAGCGCCUAGAGCCUGGUUUGACACCUUUAGCAACUUUCUUCUUGACUUUGGCUUUGAGUGCAGCACAUCUGAUCCUUCCCUCUUCGUUUGUCAUCAAAAUGGGCAAAGUCUCAUACUCCUCUUAUAUGUCGACGAUAUACUCCUCACAGGAAGUGAUCAACUGCUCAUGGAUAAACUUCUUCAAGCUCUCAACAACCGCUUUUCGAUGAAAGAUCUUGGGCCUCCUCGCUAUUUUUUGGGUAUAGAAAUUGAAUCUUACAACAAUGGUCUAUUUUUACAUCAACACGCAUACGCUUCCGACAUUCUUCAUCAAGCAGGCAUGACAGAAUGCAACCCUAUGCCUACCCCUCUGCCACAACACUUGGAAGACCUCAAUUCAGAACCCUUUGAAGAGCCAACAUACUUUCGGAGUUUAGCUGGCAAGUUACAAUACUUAACAAUCACAAGACCGGAUAUUCAAUAUGCCGUGAACUUCAUCUGCCAAAGAAUGCACGCUCCGACCAACUCUGAUUUUGGCCUUCUCAAACGCAUACUCAGGUAUGUGAAAGGAACUAUCAACAUGGGGCUUCCAAUCAGAAAACACCACAACCCUGUUCUUUCGGGAUUUUGCGAUAGUGAUUACGCUGGCUGCAAGGACACUAGACGCUCCACUACUGGUUUCUGCAUCCUCUUGGGAUCUACUCUGAUAUCUUGGUCUGCAAAGAGACAACCCACUAUCUCUCACUCCUCAACAGAAGCCGAAUAUAGAGCUCUUUCCGAUACAGCUCGAGAAAUCACUUGGAUUUCCUCUCUUCUCCGAGAUCUUGGAAUCUCUCAACAUCAACCUACACGAGUGUUCUGUGAUAACCUAUCUGCUGUCUACCUCUCUGCAAAUCCUGCUCUUCAUAAACGAUCUAAACACUUCGAUAAAGACUUUCACUACAUCAGGGAACGUGUGGCUCUCGGUCUCAUAGAAACGCAACACAUCCCAGCAACUAUUCAACUUGCUGAUGUCUUCACCAAGUCACUACCGCGACGGCCCUUUAUCACGCUUAGAGCCAAACUCGGCGUGUCUGCGUCACCGGUCUCACCCACGCCAAGUUUGAAGGAGGGUGUAGAAGACAACCCAAUAAAUAGAACGGGCUUUGACAAAAACAAAGACAUGGUAGCCCAAACUCAACAAAGCCCACUACAGAAGCCCAGUCAACAUAUGCAAAAGAAGAUAAAGACCAAAAGCUCUUUACCUGCAAAACAGAAGACUGUCACUAAUACGGAGAAGAAGACAAUAACACUUGAAAACAAAUUCAAGCCGUUGCAGUCGCUGCCGUUGCAGUAAUUCACAAUAAAUAGCUAUUGAUUAAAGAUAGCAUUGUCAAGGAUUCUAGAUUGUUCUAAAGAAGUCUAUAAAAGAAAGAUGUAAAACUCCAUUGAAAGAUAAGCAAAAUAAAAACAUUUUUUGUCAAGAAAUAAUCACAGUUUUAUUUUUCUCUUCAGGAACAACUAAAAAACUGUAUUUAACUAAAACAAUUCAGAACUCCUUCAUACGACGUCGUUCUUUUGUUAAUUUUAAAUUUAAUUAAUGGGAAAAAUGUCAUUAAAAUCUUCAACUCAUUGCAAACAUUGAUUUAAAUCCUCAACUCUCGACGAAACAAAAUAAAUAUUUGACUUUCUA